CAGUGACCAAUUUAACGGCCGCGGUACCCUAACCGUGCAAAGGUAGCAUAAUCACUUGUUUCUUAAAUGGGGACUAGUAUCAAUGGCAUCACGAAGACUACACUGUCUCCCCUUUAAAAUCAAUGAAACUGAUCCCCUCGUGAAGAAGCGAGGAUAUAAAUAUAAGACGAGAAGACCCCAUGGAGCUUUAAACGAACUUCAAUUGCUCCCCUCCUUACCAUAUAAGUUGAGCACUAAUGAUAGGUAGUUUUCGGUUGGGGCGACCGCGGAGUAAAACAAAACCUCCACAAUGAAUGUAAUUAAUACUAAUAAAAGAACCACAAUUCUAAUAAUCAAAAAUUUGACAUAAAUUGACCCAAACACUUGAUCAAUGAACCAAGUUACCCUGGGGAUAACAGCGCAAUCCAUUUUAAGAGCCCUUAUCGACAAAUGGGUUUACGACCUCGAUGUUGGAUCAGGGUAUCCCAGUGGUGCAGCCGCUACUAAUGGUUCGUUUG
RNAcentral lists this ribosomal RNA (497 nucleotides) under Leptopelis kivuensis (Kisenyi forest treefrog). Its description in RNAcentral is "partial 16S ribosomal RNA". It matches the Rfam family "Bacterial large subunit ribosomal RNA", at positions 1913 to 2579 of the family's 2925-position model. The record is from RNAcentral. Lineage: Eukaryota; Metazoa; Chordata; Amphibia; Anura; Arthroleptidae.